Molecule: ribosomal RNA, 137 nt
Filed under: uncultured eukaryote
Lineage: Eukaryota
Description: partial 18S ribosomal RNA
Rfam family: Eukaryotic small subunit ribosomal RNA
Source: RNAcentral
UGGUGGAGUGAUUUGUCUGCUUAAUUGCGAUAACGAGCGAGACCUUAACCUGCUAAAUAGCCAGGCUAGCUUUGGCUGGUCGCCGGCUUCUUAGAGGGACUAUCAACUCAAGUUGAUGGAAGUUUGAGGCAAUAACA